This is an RNA transcript of Diospyros lotus (date-plum), 1365 nucleotides long. It is a transcript of the gene named protein CHLORORESPIRATORY REDUCTION 6, chloroplastic, with no coding region annotated. The transcript is spliced from 5 exons. The record is from RefSeq and is a predicted model, not a curated record. NCBI's taxonomy places the organism in Eukaryota, Viridiplantae, Streptophyta, Magnoliopsida, Ericales, Ebenaceae.
GACACCGAGAAAAGUAGAUCAAGUGAUUUAGCCAGACAAAACAACUUCAACCUGCCUUAGCCACAAAUUUUACAGAGCCAAUACCUGGAGUCAGCCAUGGCUACUACCAGACCACUGUGCCCUCUUCCUUCACCAUUAAAGCAGACCAUUCCCUCUCUAACUCCACUGAUUUCCUGCAAACCCAUCUCAGAUUUCACCUCUUCUUUUCACGCAGCAUCACACUUGCGCCACCCAAGAGGACCAGUGACAGCCUCAGUUGCAUUCAAUCCAUCGGGAAAUUUUGACCUCUCUCUCUAUGAUGAUGAAGAUGACUCAUCAAAAGUUCCACCGCCAAUGCCACCAACAGAAGGGCGAUUUGAAGUAGUUCUUGACAAUGAUGUUAUUCGCCGCCUUGACUUAGCCCCUUUCCACGCUGCAACUGGAAUCACCUCAUCUCAAUCAGUUGAGCCAAAGUUGUUUCUUGAACGAACAAUUGGCUUCACCAUUAACUAUAGGAAGGAAGAUCCACAUGAUCCCCGGGAACUUUCAGAAUUUCCUGAUAUAAGGCUCUGGUUCGUUAGGCUAGACGCUGCUUAUCCAUGGCUGCCAGUUUUGUUGGACUGGCGAGCAGGGGAGCUUGCUCGGUAUGCAGCCAUGUUGGUGCCUCACCAGAUGAGCAUGAGAAUGGGGGUAGUCUUCAACCCUGAGGCGCUUGAAUUGUUCAUCAUGAAGAAAGUUUUCAUUGUCUACUCAUGGCUGAAGGAGCAUAACAUUCCAAAGCCGAGAUUGAAGGCAAGUGACAUGGCCAGAAUGCUUGGAUUUGGGAUUGGAGAUGAACUGUUUGACUUGAUUGAUCAGAACCAAAUUGCUGCAUCCUGAUUAAGAAGAAUCCUACAAACUCAGCAUUCAUCAUAUACUACAAGAAACAGAAAUCAGGCAAGAGUUUAAAGCCUCUUUAUGACUAACUCAGUGUCAGAAGAAUUCGCUCAAUGAAUUAGCAAAAGUUAAGUGAAGUAAUCAGUUAGAGUGCCACCAUGCCCCUUGUGGAUUAGCAUUUCAAAACCGAAGGACAUGAAGCUGGGCAGCUAUAUAUGCUUUGGGCAGCCAACAUGAGCAUGUGGGAAGUUGCUCAAUUUAGAAUGGUGAUUUCAAGCAAGUGAACUUGGGCUGUACUUGACAGGACCAAACAUUACUAGUGGUAACAGCCCAAAGGGCUCACAAAUCAAACCAACCCAGUGUCAACGGGUUGGGUUUGUUCCUUUUGGUAAAGUUUAUGGUUUUGAUCUGAUUCAAAAAUGAACUACUCUGGCUAGAUUGGUUCAUUAAUAUAACGAUUGUUGUAUAUUUUGGGUAUGUACUUCAAAAGUUGGCUCAAUGAUGUACGAA